UACGACUACAUAUCAGGCAUAUCAAUAAGCGGAGGAAAAGAAACUAACAAGGAUUCCCUUAGUAACGGCGAGUGAAGCGGGAAGAGCUCAGAUUUGAAAUCUUCAAGGUUCUACCUUGACGAAUUGUAGUUUAAAGAAGUGUUUUCUGUUGAAGUUUUGGUAAAAGUUCUUUGGAAUAGGACAUCAUAGAGGGUGAGAAUCCCGUAUUUGACCAUUAUUUUCCAACUGUGUGAUGACACUUUCAAAGAGUCGGAUUGUUUGGGAAUGCAGUCCAAAAUGGGUGGUAAAUUUCAUCUAAAGCUAAAUAUUGGCGAGAGACCGAUAGCGAACAAGUACCGUGAGGGAAAGAUGAAAAGAACUUUGAAAAGAGAGUUAAACAGUACGUGAAAUUGUCAAAAGGGAAGCGUUUGACACCAGUGUUGUUUUCUCGAAAAUCAAUUAAAAAUAGUCAGGAUUUUGUGUUGUAUUGACUUUAAUCAGCUUGCUGCACUCUUUUCAUUGUCUUUUUAAUGCACUUUUCGUUUAACAAGUCAACAUCAAGUUUCUUUUGUUGUAAAAGAGGUCAUUCGGAAGGUGGCUUUCUCUUUCGGAGAAAGUGUUUAUAGCCCUAUGAUCUUCUAGCAAUCGGAGAGACUUGAGGUCUGCAGCGUAGAUCCUUCGGGGUUAGAUACAUUUGUGCUAAGCUACAGCUUUUCAUAGACAACUUGUUGACUAUGUUUAGUCUUGUGACUUACCCGCUUAUGCUAUUUUACCUACGCUUAGGAUGUUGAGCGCAUGUCUCUCUCU
This 786-nucleotide ribosomal RNA is filed under the name uncultured Neocallimastigales. RNAcentral's name for it is "partial large subunit ribosomal RNA". It matches the Rfam family "Eukaryotic large subunit ribosomal RNA", at positions 24 to 616 of the family's 3401-position model. Lineage: Eukaryota; Fungi; Neocallimastigomycota; Neocallimastigomycetes; Neocallimastigales. The record is from RNAcentral.